This is a long non-coding RNA of Cyprinus carpio (common carp), 423 nucleotides long. The record is from Ensembl. NCBI's taxonomy places the organism in Eukaryota, Metazoa, Chordata, Actinopteri, Cypriniformes, Cyprinidae.
AUGGGACAUACAACAAUCUACUGUAGAAAAGCGCACGUGUGUGUUAACAGCGAUCACAAAUCGAAAGUGUUUAAAAGACUUCUGGAUUACGCUGCACAUGACCGGCUGUUCUACUGCAAAGACACCAAAAUCCCAGUGUUGAGCAGUUUAGCUGCAGUAUGUCAGUGGAGCGAGGAAUGGACUCUCCGUCUGAGAUUAGUCUCUCACAGAAACAGAGUGUAAUAUCAGGCUCACAUGUGUUCAGCUCUGUGUCUUUGAAGAGUGAUCGGUCAAAAAAACAAACAGUUGACUUCAGUGAGGAAACACCAUCAUCUAGCAAAAGGUAUUUCAUGUGUUUUGUGUUAGCUAAUUUCUCCACCAAGAUAUUUAUGAUAUAAAUCAACUAAACAAUAAGUCACUAAAUAAUUCACAGAACACAGUGUU